Vespa crabro (European hornet) is the source of this 292-nucleotide long non-coding RNA. RefSeq lists it as uncharacterized. NCBI's taxonomy places the organism in Eukaryota, Metazoa, Arthropoda, Insecta, Hymenoptera, Vespidae. The transcript has 2 exons. The record is from RefSeq and is a predicted model, not a curated record.
UCCUUCCGAUCCUGAGCUUCUUUUUUCCUGAAACGCAAGCGAGCUACGACGGUAACGAAGUAAUAAAAAGGACUCGUCAAUUCGAAAUUACCUGCGAGCUAUUUCGUCCUUGACCAUUGCCGAUCCGUUAGAUCCCACGCUAUUAUAGAUGCAUUUUACCUGACGAUGGAGUUCAUUUUGACUCCUAUGCCCAUCUCUGUGAGACAAUGUAUACAGUUUUCACAUGCAUCGCCAGCAGGAACUGGGAAUAUGACCUGAUCCGAUAGACAGGAAAAUAGAGAUGCAAUUCAAU